CAGCCGCCGCGGGAAUACGAAGGUGGCGAGCGUUGUCCGGAUUUAUUGGGCGUAAAGGGAGUGUAGGCGGUCUUUUAAGUCUGAUGUGAAAGCCCACGGCUCAACCGUGGAGGGUCAUUGGAAACUGGGAGACUUGAGUGCAGAAGAGGAGAGCGGAAUUCCAUGUGUAGCGGUGAAAUGCGUAGAUAUAUGGAGGAACACCAGUGGCGAAGGCGGCUCUCUGGUCUGUAACUGACGCUGAGGCUCGAAAGCGUGGGGAGCAAACAGGAUUAGAUACCCCUGUAGUCCCUGUCUCUUAUAC
This 301-nucleotide ribosomal RNA is filed under the name uncultured bacterium. Its description in RNAcentral is "partial 16S ribosomal RNA". It matches the Rfam family "Bacterial small subunit ribosomal RNA", at positions 509 to 807 of the family's 1533-position model. The record is from RNAcentral.